Molecule: ribosomal RNA, 231 nt
Filed under: uncultured bacterium
Lineage: Bacteria
Description: partial 16S ribosomal RNA
Rfam family: Bacterial small subunit ribosomal RNA
Source: RNAcentral
AGUAAUGUCUGGGAAACUGCCCGAUGGAGGGGGAUAACUAUUGGAAACGAUAGCUAAGACCGCAUAGGUACGGACACUGCAUGGUGACCGUAUUAAAAGUGCCUCAAAGCACUGGUAGAGGAUGGACUUAUGGCGCAUUAGCUGGUUGGCGGGGUAACGGCCCACCAAGGCGACGAUGCGUAGCCGACCUGAGAGGGUGACCGGCCACACUGGGACUGAGACACGGCCCAG